UUUAAAUAAUAAAAACCAAUACGAUGUGCAAAGAAGUCAUUAACGGCUACUAUUAAUAUUCUCCUCACUAAAAAAGAGGCAGGUGGGGGGAGCACUAACAACAAUUUCAUACAUUUAUGUGUUUUCCAGGCUGCUGGAUAAGGCAGGGUGCUUUUCCCCCAGUUCGUAUGGCUUGCGUUAAAUUUAAAAACAGUUCCCAGAGGAGGCUGAUAAAUGGAUUAAAGUGGAACAUAAAUUCUCUAGUCACCCAGUCCCUUAAACCUUGAUGUCAGUAACAUGCCUAAUCAUUCCAUUAUUAUAAACGUCAAAUAUGUUCUACAUGUGUUAGAAAGGGUAUUAGAAGAAAUGGAAGCCUCAAGAAACUGUAAUGCUAUUAUAAGCCUCCAUGCAAAAAAUAUCAAAAAUAUUACCAUGUUCACCCAUUAAUUAAAGUAUUUCAGAUUCUUGUCUUAUAAUUUGUAAACUAUAAGGUACACCAGUGUGUCCAUUGUGCUAUGCAUACUUUACUUUCCCUUAAUGGCACUGCUUCUAUGAGCUAGCAUAACUGAAGAGCAUAAAUUUUUUCAGUGGUUAAUUUGAGAAACAGUACACAUGAAUCUUGCUUAAAAAAUAUGAGUUAUUCUACUCAGCAAAAAGAAAAGCCUCAGCUGAAGCAGUGUUGCCCAAUCUUUUAAGAUAUUGCAAAGUACAGACAGAAGAACAAAAAAUUUACAACCCUUUCAGAAAAAUGACUUACAAGAAAGACUGAAAGAACUGGGCUUGCUUACAGUACCAAACAAAAACAGAAGUGGAUCAGCACUGUAAUGAUCCUGAAACAAGUAAAAAUGACAGUGAUUUACUAUUCUCCCCUUUCUUCAAAGUACACAGAGGAAAGUAAGUUGUUUUAUUUGCAAUCAGCAGGCUUGGAAUUAAAUACUAGAAACAAGCUUUCCAAAUACAAUCAAAGUAAAAUACAGGAACAUGUUACCAAUGGAGACUAUGAAAACCUCAAUAUGGAAAUGUACAGUGACACAUUAGAAAUACCUGGGUAUGAGACAGUAAAGUACUGGAUACUGUAUACUUGAUACCAGAUCAGUCAAAUAUCUGGUUGACUAUGUAAUCUCUUGAGGUUACCUGCAUUACACAUUUUUAUGAUUCUGUGGUAUCAUUCAAAGAAUAUUACAACUAUUUAAUGGUGAAAAUAAUUGAUAUACUCAGUAUGUAAUAAGAGGUGAGAAUCUUUGGGCAAUAAAGUACUACGCAUUUUAGAAGAAAAAGUGAGAGACAUAUCAGCUAUUCA
Long non-coding RNA from Neopsephotus bourkii (Bourke's parrot), 1279 nucleotides. RefSeq lists it as uncharacterized. The record is from RefSeq and is a predicted model, not a curated record. The transcript is spliced from 2 exons. NCBI's taxonomy places the organism in Eukaryota, Metazoa, Chordata, Aves, Psittaciformes, Psittacidae.